GAUGAACGCUGGCGGCGUGCCUAAUACAUGCAAGUCGAGCGAACGGACGAGAAUCUUGCUUCUCUGCUGCUAGCGACGGAUGGGUGAUUAAUACGUAGAUACCUUACCUAUAAGAAUGGCAUCACUUCGGGAAACCGGAGCUAACAUCCGAUCAUAUUUUGAACCGCAUGGAUCUUAAGUGCAAGCCCGUCUUGAUGACCCUAAUAGAUGGUUCCGGGCUGCAUUAGCUAGUUGGUAAGGUAACGGCUUACCAAGGCGACGAUCCAUAGCUGGUCUGAGAGGGUGAUCAGCCACACUGGAACUGAGACACGGUCCAGACUCCUACGGGAGGCAGCAGUAGGGAAUAUUGCGCAAUGGGCGAAAGCCUGAUGCAGCAACGCCGCGUGUGUGAUGAAGGUCUUCGGAUCGUAAAGCACUGUUAGUAGGGAAGAAGAUAUGUAAAAGAAACUGUUGAUAUCUUGACGGUACCAAAUCAGAAAGCCCCGGCUAACUUCGUG
Molecule: ribosomal RNA, 497 nt
Filed under: uncultured bacterium
Lineage: Bacteria
Description: partial 16S ribosomal RNA
Rfam family: Bacterial small subunit ribosomal RNA
Source: RNAcentral